RNAcentral lists this microRNA (22 nucleotides) under Echinops telfairi (small Madagascar hedgehog). The record is from RNAcentral. Lineage: Eukaryota; Metazoa; Chordata; Mammalia; Afrosoricida; Tenrecidae.
AGAGGAUACCCUUGUAUGUUCA